Molecule: ribosomal RNA, 468 nt
Filed under: uncultured bacterium
Lineage: Bacteria
Description: partial 16S ribosomal RNA
Rfam family: Bacterial small subunit ribosomal RNA
Source: RNAcentral
GACGAACGCUGGCGGCGUGCUUAACACAUGCAAGUCGAACGGAAAGGCCCUGCUUUUGUGGGGUGCUCGAGUGGCGAACGGGUGAGUAACACGUGAGUAACCUGCCCUUGACUUUGGGAUAACUUCAGGAAACUGGGGCUAAUACCGGAUAGGAGCUCCUGCUGCAUGGUGGGGGUUGGAAAGUUUCGGCGGUUGGGGAUGGACUCGCGGCUUAUCAGCUUGUUGGUGGGGUAGUGGCUUACCAAGGCUUUGACGGGUAGCCGGCCUGAGAGGGUGACCGGCCACAUUGGUACUGAGAUACGGCCCAGACUCCUACGUGAGGCAGCAGUGGGGAAUAUUGCACAAUGGGCGGAAGCCUGAUGCAGCAACGCCGCGUUCGUGAUGACGGCCUUCGGGUUGUAAACCGCUUUCGCCUGUGACGAAGCGUGAGUGACGGUAAUGGGUAAAGAAGCACCGGCUAACUACGUG